RNAcentral lists this unclassified non-coding RNA (350 nucleotides) under soil metagenome. RNAcentral's name for it is "partial contains 5.8S ribosomal RNA, internal transcribed spacer 2, and large subunit ribosomal RNA". The stretch from base 1 to 120 matches the Rfam family "5.8S ribosomal RNA", at positions 35 to 154 of the family's 154-position model. The record is from RNAcentral.
GAUGAAGAACGCAGCGAACUGCGAUAAGUAAUGUGAAUUGCAGAAUUCAGUGAAUCAUCGAGUCUUUGAACGCACAUUGCGCCCCCUGGCAUUCCGGGGGGCAUGCCUGUCCGAGCGUCAUUGCUGCCCUUCAAGCCCGGCUUGUGUGUUGGGUCGUCGUCCCCCCCGGGGGACGGGCCCGAAAGGCAGCGGCGGCACCGCGUCCGGUCCUCGAGCGUAUGGGGCUUUGUCACCCGCUCGAUUAGGGCCGGCCGGGCGCCAGCCGGCGUCUCCAACCUUCUAUUUUAACAGGUUGACCUCGGAUCAGGUAGGGAUACCCGCUGAACUUAAGCAUAUCAAUAAGCGGAGGA